RNAcentral lists this ribosomal RNA (28 nucleotides) under Chloroleucon mangense var. mangense. RNAcentral describes it as "partial 18S ribosomal RNA". The record is from RNAcentral. Lineage: Eukaryota; Viridiplantae; Streptophyta; Magnoliopsida; Fabales; Fabaceae.
CAAAGAUUAAGCCAUGCAUGUGACGGCU